UUGAGGUACUAGAACACAUCCAGAGAAGGGCAAAAGAGGUGAUGAAGGUUCCAGAGCACAAGUCAUGAGAGGAGUGGCUGAGGGAACCGGGGUUGUUUAGCCCUGAGGAGGCUCAGGGUUACCUUAUCACUCUCCACAACUGCCUGAAAGGAGGCUGUAGCCAGGCAGGGGUUGGUCUCUUCUGGCAGGCAAUAAUUGACAGGAUAAGAGGAAAUAGCCUCAAGCUGUGCCAGGGAGUUUCAGAUGCUUCAUUCAUCUAGGGAGAAAGGGAAAAGUACGUGCAUGGGCAGAAGUGCUCCUUUGCCAUAUUUACAUGGCAAAGAAUAUCAAAGUGAGGAGUAAUGAGAUGUCUGGUCACAGGAGCUGGAAACAAAUUUCAUCCUGACCCAACUAUGUAUCUGGAAAAGAGAAAAUGCCAAAGAAGACUCAUAGGUGGGAAAGAAUGACAC
This is a long non-coding RNA of Passer domesticus (house sparrow), 449 nucleotides long. RefSeq lists it as uncharacterized. The record is from RefSeq and is a predicted model, not a curated record. NCBI's taxonomy places the organism in Eukaryota, Metazoa, Chordata, Aves, Passeriformes, Passeridae. The transcript is spliced from 3 exons.